Molecule: long non-coding RNA, 6086 nt
Filed under: Sus scrofa (pig)
Lineage: Eukaryota; Metazoa; Chordata; Mammalia; Artiodactyla; Suidae
Description: lncRNA (ENSSSCG00055026418.1)
Source: RNAcentral
AUACAGUAUUUGUCUUUAUCUUAUUUCACUUAGCGUAGUACCCGCCGGGUCCAUCCCUGUUUCUGUUUUUUGAGUGCUCCUGCACAUAUCAAAUAUAUUAAGUUUGCGGACUAAAGAAGAGAUUUUUAUAAUUAUUUUUAUCUUUUAUGUUAUUUUGCCAAGUGCAUUUUUUGAUAGAGAUUAUUAGGAUGUUUUAAGAUGUACACAUUCAAAAACUGAAAGCUAUAAUUUUAUUAACUUAUACAGAAAUAGUGCAAACAUACUGAAAUAUUGUAAGAUUCAUGCAAAUAACAUUUGGCAGAGUUGUAAAUAUAUACAAGUGUAGAGACAUAAGUAUCUUGAAAUGUGAACUUCAUAGAGGCUCACAGGUUUUUUGAAAAAUACUAGAGGUUAAAUAGUUUUCUCUCGUCUAUUAAGUUCCUUUUAUAUGGAAAACACUGAAGAAAACAUCAAGUUGUUUCUUUUUGAAGACAUUCUAAUCUAUCUAUGGAAGAUAAAAUCUUCAGGAAAUAUGAUGAGACCAAUCACAAAACAAAACAGCUGACAUAUGAGAUUUGAUAGAGUCUUGAUCACUGGAAUCCAAAGGCAAGUUUAUGUCUGUCUGGGUAACAUUCCAGACACAUUGGUCAAUGCAUGUAACUGUCUACUUGGCAAGCUCAGGGUGAAAUAUGGAAGUAUUUGAAGAUUAGCAUUACAGUUCUCCUUCUAAAACAUACCUCUUCCAAAAUGAUGCUCAAAACUCAUCUCAUGCAGGAUACUUCCCUGACAGUUAAGGCAGCAGAAAAAUCUUUUCAUCUUCAAACAGUGCUGUUGAGAAAUGUAUUUUCUUUUCAGAUUUACAUGAAAUAUUCAUAAAAAAGAAAUAAAAGCAGCAAUCAAAUAAAUGUCAAUAAGAAAAAAAAUCACCAUGAAAUUAUUUCUUAUGUUGAGACUUUCUAUUGGGACUCUUUUCUAGUAAUAUAGGUGUGUAUAUCCACUCAUGCAUAUAUACGAAUAUAUGCAAAUUUGACUUAAUUUCUUCCAUUCACACUGUAAGCACUAGAAUGAAAGGGAUGGGUAGGAGGAUAUGUCCACAUAGUAUUGCAUUGGAUGAAGAGAGGAUUAUUUGCAUCAUGUGGAAGGGAGGCUUGAACUUCACUUUGAUCAAUCCUGAUAAACAUGUAAAAUGCACAUAACUGGCUUCAUGACCCUGGUAAACAAAAGCUCAGGGUUUUCGUGAUGACCAGCAGCUGACAUCUCCCACCCACUUAGGGCUUAUCUUCGAUGUGGGGCAAGGUUCAUGGAGAUGGUGGACACAAUUAAAGCCAGUUUGGAAAAGGACUAUAAAGAGGAAGCAUUAGUUUGAUGCAAGACUUUGGGCUACAUGGAAUAUAGAGUGUAGAAUGUACAGGAUUUCUGAUUAAGAAAACCACAGAAAAGAGACAUCUUGUCAGAACACUUCAUCAUAUAAGAAAGUUUGCUAUUCUAAGCUGAGAGUUCAGGAAACACGUCAAUGAUAAAAUGAAGUUUGAGAACAAGUCCUAAAGGGAGUGAGGGAACAACAACUGGAAUUGAAACAGAGCAAGAUCCUGGGGGGCCUUCCCAGGAUAGAGCCCUCUGCUCUACUGCCAUGUCCUCAGCCUACCUUUCAUCUACAGAAAAACUUGAUCCGAAGAAUAAAUUUAAUUAGAGAAGUAAGAAAACGCAGAAACAAAGAAAAGCAGUCAAACAAAACCGAAUAAUAACAGUUUAGUCAUUAAGCAAAGUCAAGGACAUUUAGUUCCUCCUCAAGGGUUAUAGAUAAUAUUCUGAGCCAUAUCCUUUGACCAUUUCAAUGAUAGUGAAACCCCACCAGGUGGAUGAAGUUAACUAUGUGAUGACCAGGCUGUAGCCAUGACAUAAGCUGCCACAGUUCUGAUAACUGGCUUCAAAGAAAUGGGAACAAACCAACCCUGGAACUAAAGAGUAGUUGUAUUGAAAACAAUCAAGAUGACAUUAAUCAGACUUCAAUGGACUCUUUCUGAAUAUUUUAGGUUUUGAUUUUAGGCUUAUCUUUUGAGUUCUAGCAAGCAAAUGCAGUUAUAUGAGCAAAAGGUCAUACACUACCCUAGCAAUUUCAAAAUGGUUGUGAGAGCUGACUGUACUGUUCUACAUGCAGCUGCCUCUCUCCACUUAGAAGCCCUGAAAUUCCCCUUUAAGGGCUCUUGCCCACUGACCAAGAGUGGGGAGUUGGCCUUUGCACAUGAGUCCGCCUUCUCCACUGGUUGCUGGCCUCCAGAAUAAGGCAAACUUUCUUUCUACCAUCACUUGUCUCCUGAAUAUUGGAUUUCAAGCAGCCAGACCUGAAUUUGGGAACAGAAUAAGUGACAGGUUAGAGGGAAGGAUUUCAGGCAGAGAGAAUAAAAUUUUAAAAAUAAUCAUCAGUAAUUACAGUGCCUUGUGACUUUCAGUUUUCUUCGUUAAACAAAUAAGACCAUGCUUAACUGACAGUAAUACUCAUGGCAACUUACAUAUGGAAGAAUUGACAACAAAUUCCUAUUUUUGUUUCAUAAAUGAAAUAUCAGAAGUGUUAGUAUUUACAACUGGAAUGUGUGUGGGGAGAAAAAUGUACUCAAUUUCUUUAUAUUCUUUCAAGGCAAAAAAUACAAUACAGCUUUAAUGGAGAAUAAAUUGACAUCUUUUUUUUAAAGCAGUUGUCACAAUUGGAGUGAAUAAUCAAUUUGAAAGAACCCUUUUAAAGAGUCAUCACUGAUUAUUCUCUUGACCUUUUGCUCAUAUAACUGCAUUUGCUUGCUAGAACUCAAAAGAUAAGCCUAAAAUCAAAACCUAAAAUAUUCAGAAAGAGUCCAUUGAAGCUAAACAAAGUAUGUGGAGUUUUAAGACUCAAGCAGGAGGAUAGAUGCAAAAACAAACUUUAGAAGGUAUAAAUAGGCACAGUUUCACAGAAGUUUCAGGGGAAAAAGUGCAAAGAAUUAUAAAACAGUAUCCAAGUUUACUUUACAGUACACCUUUGUUUUCUUACUCCACUGUUUUGCAAAACAAAUUUUGAAAUUUUACCUUAAAAAUAUUUCAUUCCUCUAUGAGAGUCUGAUUUAUCUUCUAGAUUUAUCUUCUAGUCUUCCUGCAUUUAAAGGCAACAAAAUAUUUUAAUUUGUAUCUAUUACACCAGUAUUUGAUUUUCAGAGACUGAUCUAUUAAAGUGCUCUGAUUUUUACAUACACACUUAGCUUUGGUCUUUAAAAUCACAGCCACUUACUUUAUAUUGAGUUUAAUAAACUACUUACACCGGCCCUGGGGAAAGAUCCGUAUAUAAACAAAUGCCUUUAAUGGUGUGUAGAUGGUUCCUGUAAGCCAUUUAGAAUACAUCAAUGUUUAAAUCAUCCCUCAUGUUAAACUUACUUUAGGUCUGUAAUACAUGUACAAACAUUAGGAGGUACAUGGUUAUUUAUUUAUUUACUUUGUAUAUUUGUGCUAUCACAAAAAGUUAGGAGAUUAACUAGGAUACUCAGAAGUCAGGUUUCUUAGAAAACCAAAAUUAAAUGUAGUCUGUUGGAAGAGUAGAUGCGCAGAGGGCUUAAAGUGAAGCUGAUAAAUAGAAAUUUUUGCUACAUUGCCUAGUAUUCCCUUUAUCUGGUCCCUAGUAUCCAACUUCUUAAGCAACUCUUAAUCCUUGCUUGGUAAAGAUAAUCUAGUAAAUGCUGCCUGCAUUUGAUCUGAUGAUACUAAUCCCCCUAUUUUCUAACUUCGCUAAAAUAAAUUUUUAAAAAUAUACUGGGGGAAUAAUGGUAAAUGAAGACUCCUUUUCUUCUGGUACGCUCAGAUGAUAGAAUGCGGUGCCUCCAGACAAGAUACUGUCAUCAUCAGGGCGUCAGCAUACAUCCAGCUUUGUGAGCGAAGACCUGCUCUAGUCAGGCUCUUGCUGUGCUCUGUGACUCCAUGUUCCCAAGUUUUGUGCUUUUCAGAUAUCAUCUCUCCACUUCGGGUGCAUGUCCGAGAAUCCCAUUCUGUCAUUAUUUGAUAAGCACAGUAAAAAUAUUCUUUUAUCACACUUUUCAGAUUUAAGCAUCUUUUCUGACACUGUGUAGGUCCAGCUGCUACUUGGCCUUCUCUAGACAUAUUUUGCAUGGAUAAUGCAUUUGCAUUUGAAGAGUCAUCUGUUAUUUUGCUUUCUCCCUUCCAUAGCAAUUUGGUUGACUUCUUGUCUAGCAAAGCCAUUCUCAUCAGAGUUCUUUCUCUUUCCCUGCAUGAUUUGACUACCAAUGAAAACUUGCUAUUGAGACAUCUUGUCACCCUUAGGACAAAAAAUGGCUGUAGAUUUUUAGGCAGCAGCCGAUCAAUCAUUCUUCCAUUUACCAGCAUGGAAACCAAUUUGGCAGAGAUGUCAUGUGAGAAUACGCCUUGGCUCUUUGAGUUAUUAUGGCAUAACGCCAUGUGUAACUGAUGCUAUUUUCAACAUAACAAAUUAUUUUUGUACAUUUUUACAAUUCAUAUAAGGUAAGAAAGUAUAGCAUGAACAUAGAAUAAAUGCUAAGUGUCCUAAGCAAAAAAAGAGGAAAGGGGAAUAAAGAGUGAAAGAAAAUGCAAGAAACAAAAUUGUGGCUGUGCUAAUUUUAUCGUUGGCACUGACCUCUUUCUUUUGAGUCAAGACCGUGUGUUGAUGGGCCCAUGCUGCAGGCAGAUACUGACCACGGGUUUCCCCUCUAUCUGAAAAGUAGAGCCUUUCUGCAAGCUGAAAUGGCUUCAAAGGAAGAAGCAAUUACUUUGGGACACAUCCUGCCAAGGGAUGCACAGAAUAAAUCGAGGUAAAACACAGAUGCUCACACAGUUCAGAGCUCUGGGGGCCUGAUGCUGAUAUGCUGAGUCUGGUUCCUGGGGAAGGAGCUUGCACAGCCACUCAUCCUGCUCAGGUGCACCAGCCUCAGUAGUGACUCCUUACAAAACAAAUGCUGAAUGUUAUCUUCACUUUGCACCUUUAUUUCAAGGAAGUGAAAAUCCUCUUAGGAUGUCUUCUUUUUUAACUUUCCAGAAUAAUUUUAUUUAUGUGUUUUUAAAAAAUAAUUAUUGGAGUAUACUUGACUUACAAUGUGUGUUAGUUUCAAGUGUACAGCAAAGUGAAUCAAUUAUACAUAUACACAUAUCCAUUCUUUUUCAGAUUCUUUUCCAUUAUAGGUUAUUACAGAAUACUGAGUAGAGUUCCCUGUGCUAUACAGUAGGUUCUUGUUAAUUAUCUAUUUUAUAUAUAAAUGUGUGUAUAUGUUAAUCCCAAACUCCUAAUUUAUCCCUCCCCCUCCUGUUUCCCCUUUGGUGACCAUAAAUUUAAUUUCAGAAUCUGCGAGUCUAUUUCUGUUUUGUAAAUAAGUUUAUUUGUAUCUUUUCAAAAAUUAGAUUCCACAUAUGAGUGAUAUAUUCUUUCUGUUAGCAAAAACAGGUGCAAAUAUAGGUCUUUCCCAAAAGCAAAGUGGUGGAAAAUGAACUUUCAAAAAGUGGGGAUAAUUGUAUAGAAGUGUGCUUAUAAGAUUAUGUGUUUUUUUUCCAUUGGACGUUCUCAGGCAAGGCAUCUAAGUCGCACCUCAGCAGUAAUCUGAGCCACUUCAGUGACAAUGCUGGGUCCUUAGCUCGCUGAGCCACAAGAGAACUAACUCCAAGAUUAUAAAUCUUAUUUACAUAAAAUAUAGUUUAAAAGUUCACGAACAAAAUAAUACGUGUGUAUUUCAAAGUGUUUCUAACAAUGCCAGAAGUGCUGUCCAUUUUAGAUUGUACUGUAGUUUUAAUGGUCUAUACUCUGACAAAAUAUGUAAAUAGAGUAUUUUUGAUAUUUUCCUAUACUCAGAAAUAUAUAUGUAUACUUGUAUUUCAAAGAGCUAUAUCUACAUAAAUAGUUUUCCUGAAUAAAUAUGUAUUUCUGUAGCUUCAUGGGACAAUCUGCAGCAGGUGGAUUCUAUCAAAUGUUUAACAAAGAAAUAAUACAAAACUCAUACAGAUAUCUCUAGGAAAUAGAAGGAUGGUUCAGCUUGUUUUUUGAGGCCAGAGGACAUUGAUUCCAACAUCAGAUGAAGAUACUGCAAGGAAAGAAAAUAGUAGAAGAGUUAUCCUUCAUGAGUUCAAAC